CCUCUUGCCCAUGUUAAAUUGGGGUGUCACUAUCAGUUGAAAACGACAUUAAUUUUGUCACUUGACUGUUAAACUGAGACAACACACGCGCUCCAAUAUGAGUGAGUGAGUGAGUUGGAUUUUACGCCGCA
Molecule: long non-coding RNA, 131 nt
Organism: Haliotis rubra (blacklip abalone)
Lineage: Eukaryota; Metazoa; Mollusca; Gastropoda; Lepetellida; Haliotidae
Exons: 3
Source: RefSeq, a predicted model, not a curated record